Molecule: non-coding RNA, 130 nt
Organism: Coniochaeta sp. PMI_546
Lineage: Eukaryota; Fungi; Ascomycota; Sordariomycetes; Coniochaetales; Coniochaetaceae
Source: the annotation of a GenBank genome assembly
AGCUGCGUGGCGCAGUGGAAGCGCGGUAAGUUUGCAAAACCAACAGCCUGAAAAAAAUCCAUUGUACUGACAAACAACAAUAGCCGGGCUCAUAACCCGGAGGUCCUCCGAUCGAAACGGAGCGCAGCUA